AUUGAACGCUGGCGGAAUGCUUUACACAUGCAAGUCGAACGGCAGCACGGGGCAACCUGGUGGCGAGUGGCGAACGGGUGAGUAAUACAUCGGAACGUGCCCAAUCGUGGGGGAUAACGUAGCGAAAGUUACGCUAAUACCGCAUACGAUCUACGGAUGAAAGCGGGGGAUCGCAAGACCUCGCGCGAAUGGAGCGGCCGAUGUCAGAUUAGGUAGUUGGUGGGGUAAAGGCUCACCAAGCCAAUGAUCUGUAGCUGGUCUGAGAGGACGACCAGCCACACUGGAACUGAGACACGGUCCAGGACUCCUACGGGAGGCAGCAGUGGGGAAUUUU
Molecule: ribosomal RNA, 334 nt
Filed under: uncultured bacterium
Lineage: Bacteria
Description: bacterial SSU rRNA
Rfam family: Bacterial small subunit ribosomal RNA
Source: RNAcentral